GAUUUAUAAUUUUUAAAUAUUAAUAUAGAAUUGAUUUCAAAAAGAUUUGAAUGACGAAAAUAGUCCAUAUAACCGACUCCAAUUAAUUUGAAAUUAAAAUUUAGUUAUUGUUGAUUUUAGCAAGUAUUGGAUAAAGAAGUGACCUAAUCAAUUUUUCAUACUACCUCACUUGGAUGGGAGUGCAAGGAUCAAAAUAAAUAUAAAAGCAAAAAGAUACCAAUAACCUUGUUUGGAUAGCAAAUAACAAAGAAUUAGUAAAGUAUUACUCACAUCAUAAAACUAUUUAAAUUGUAGUGGAAUGAGGAAUGAGGGAAAAAGUUUUAAAAGGAAAUUUUGCUGCGUGAUAUUAUGCCCUUGAAAUAAUAAUAAAAAUUAUAUUAGUAUUUAGAUAGUGUCAUAUGAGUAUGAAUAUGGAUAAAUCAAUUUUUAUAAUUUGCGAUAUAGUGGGGUGAACUUAGCCAAUACGCUAUAUGGGAUUGCAGUAUGCUUAAAUAUAUUGCUCAAUUAGUUUUGAAUUAUAUGCAUUAAAACUAUGUAUUUCAAAGCAACUAUUUUAUAAAAUUUAAACUACUAGUGUAUGUAAAAUUCAAAUAAUAA
Molecule: unclassified non-coding RNA, 597 nt
Filed under: Hevea brasiliensis (rubber tree)
Lineage: Eukaryota; Viridiplantae; Streptophyta; Magnoliopsida; Malpighiales; Euphorbiaceae
Source: RNAcentral